GUCCGGAGCUAAAAUGCUCUCCCGUGUUCUUUUUGUUUUUUUAACACUUUUGCUGUUUUGAGGAAAAUUUUCAUAAAAGUGCAAAAGGCAACAGCUCUGGUCAUCCAAAGGUACAAUCACAAGAGAAGCAGACUCCAAGAGGAAAUGUCUCCCUUCCUGUCUGCCUUUUGCACAAGUACAACUGGAAUGGAACGUUCCCUUUUUAAUCUCUGUAUAAGUCCAAGAGGUUUUAACUUCCUCAUUACCUCAGGGUCUCUUAUGGUCUGGGAUUUGAGGAGGCAGAAAUGCCCACCUCUUCUGGAUGGGGAUAUAAAGGAGGUGAGCAGAACGGGAGAUCACUCAGUCCUGCUUCCCCAUGAAGUCCUCACCUGGCCUCAUUGUACUCCUUACUCUCCUGGUCCUCGAUGCCUUGAAGCCUGCAGCCUGUGGGAAAGGAAAUCCCGGAAAAUGCCCAACUCCACCUAAAGGAAAACAUGAACCGUGUCUAAAAUUCUGCCAUUCUGAUGGUGGUUGCCCUAAGCCCAUGAAAUGCUGUGAAUGGCAAUGCAGGAGAUUUUGCCUUAUUCCUGAGUGAAAUGGUGACACACCACACAAGUCAUACCAGGUUUUUUGGUGAAUUUUGACACACCAAGCGCUAAAGGUUGCCCAUCAUUGGUCUAAAGGAUGAGCAACAGCCCUGGAUCUAGACCUCAUCAAACCAUUGUCCCACAUUCCCUGCUCUUGGAGGGCUACAACAUGAAUACAAAAGUAAAUCAAGUGGUUGUCUGGGACUCCUGGUAAUCUGAUCCCUUUGGUUAUCAUCUACAAAGACACUUUGGAAGCAGGGUGCCACCAGGAGAAGAAACCCUUGAUAUCCCAGAUGAAGAGAAGAUGGUUGGGCUCCUCCCUGGGAUGGGAGAAAAGCACUCUAUACAUGCUCAGUGUUCUUCCUUAUUGCUAUUCAGGUUUUCUCCCUGUAACCACAUUAAGAGAAAUGAUAUGACUGAAUCUAAAAAUGAUAUGAUUGGAUCUAGGAAAAGUACAAUGCAAAAACAGUAUGUCUCUUCCUCUCCCUCUUCUAUCUCUGGCUCAUUCAUCUUUUCACAGUCUGACCUUGAAAGAGGCCUAAAUCCAUAGAGAGCAACCAACUGAAAUUUGGCGCAGCUGGUUAGGAGCCAGCUGCAAGAUCACUACUGACCGAGAGGUCAUGAGUUCAAAGCCCAAGUUGGAUUGAGUGCCCAACUGAUAAAUAGGCCCAGCUCGUUGUCGACUUAAGCAAGCCGAAAGACAGUUGCAUCUGUCAAGUAGGAAAAUUUAGGGACUGCUUAUGCGGGGAGGCUAAUUUAACUAAUUUACAACACCAUAAAAACGUCCAGCAGCGUGAGUGCCAGAUGAGGAAGUACACCAUCAAAAGGACUCAUUGUUACAGUGGAUGAUAAAGCAGCAGCUCCUCCUGUGGCCAGAAUUGAGCAUACCCUCAUGAAGCAAGGAGCUGGGAAGUUAAAUAGCCUCUGUGUCUGUCUGUCUCUGUGUUGUUUGUCUAAUGGUAUUGAAUGUUUGCCAUAUAUAUGUACAUUGUGAUCCGCCCUGAGUCACCUUCGGGGUGAGAAGGGCGGGAUAUAAAUACUGCAAAUAAAUAAAUAAAUAAAUAAAUAAAUAAAAUGUCUGACCAGAGGUCCUCUGUCCAUCUACUCCCAGAGAAACUGUAUCUCACUCUGCACCAUCUCCAUUUUCCACAUUGGUGGUCCCAAUUAUUCUCUAUUCACA
Anolis carolinensis (green anole) is the source of this 1746-nucleotide long non-coding RNA. RefSeq lists it as uncharacterized. The record is from RefSeq and is a predicted model, not a curated record. The transcript has 3 exons. NCBI's taxonomy places the organism in Eukaryota, Metazoa, Chordata, Lepidosauria, Squamata, Anolidae.